Otolemur garnettii (small-eared galago) is the source of this 75-nucleotide small nucleolar RNA. Ensembl annotates it as small nucleolar RNA, C/D box 114-12. Its record names the gene SNORD114-12. Lineage: Eukaryota; Metazoa; Chordata; Mammalia; Primates; Galagidae. The record is from Ensembl.
UGGACCAAUGAUGAGAAUUGCAGGCAUAUGAGUCUUGGAUGAUGAAUAAUAUGUGUCUGGAACUCUGAGGUUCAA